This is a long non-coding RNA of Chelonia mydas (Green sea turtle), 4931 nucleotides long. RefSeq lists it as uncharacterized. The record is from RefSeq and is a predicted model, not a curated record. The transcript is spliced from 3 exons. NCBI's taxonomy places the organism in Eukaryota, Metazoa, Chordata, Testudines, Cheloniidae.
ACCAAGUUAAAAGUCUAUAAAGUGGUUGUGCUGACUAACUUGGUGUAUGGGUGUGAGACUUGGAUCUGCUAGAGGCAUCACAUUAAGCUUCUAAGAAAGUUCCAUUUAUGACACAUGCAUGUCAUACCCUGCAUCAAAUGGAGGUUCUGGAACUUAAUCACUUCACAGGGAUUGAAACCACGCUUAUCGCAUCACAGUUACAUUGGGUUGGCCAUGUGUUCAGGAUGGACGACACCAGAAUGCCAAAGCAGUUGCUGUGUGGCAAACUGAAAGUGAACAACUUCAUGUGAGGCAGCCCAAAGAAAUGCUUCAUGGGCACACUGAAGCAUAAUUUGAAACAGUGCAACAUUGACAUUGACAGAGGGGAGUAGUGAGCAGUAGAUAGAACACUCUGGCAAGUAUGAGUUUAACUACCAUUGGGAUCUUGAGAAAGAGAGGCUGAGUCAUAAGCAGCGGCAGAUUUAGCAGGGACAGACUGUAAUCCCUUCCUUGGCAUCAAGCUAGCUAUGCACUUCAUGUGGAAAGGACUGCCCCUUGCACAUCGGUCUCUUUAGCCACAGCCAUACUUGCAGGACUUAAAACCAUCAUCAGCAUCAUCUUUGGUCACAAAGGAAGAUAAAAAAAAAAAAAAGGUAAGUAUGUGCUUUGCUGACCGGGGACCUUGACUUCUGUAACCAUCUGUCCAGGUAGCCUGGGGGUUUGUCUGCAUGGGGUGCUUAGUUUGCACUGAGAUAAUGCACAUUAAUUGAAGCCACAUUCACAGCACGCAGACUGGACAGCUGUGUCCUCUUUCAGUUCACCUCAUGGUGUAAAGAGAGUGGGAGCUUGGUGACCAGAGGCAGUGCUAUCCCACUGGGGGCCCUAAGCAGGAAUAUUUUGCCUCUGCCCUUGAGACACAACACAUAAUAAAAAGUGAAUUGGGGGCCUCCUUGAGCUGCUCGGUGCCCUAAGCAACUGUUUAAUCUGCUUAUGCCUAGCGCCAGCUCUGCUCUUGUUCCUGACUUGCAGUUUGCCCUCUGGCCUGUCUUGGACUCUGAUCCCCUGGUAACCUGACCCUGCCAGCCUACUGACACCUGACUCUCAGUCUGCCCUCCGGCCUGUCUAAGAUUCUGGUCUCCUGGUAUCCAGACCUAGUCUUUCUUCUGGUUCCCCUCUUAACCCUUAAGUUGGACCGCCCACAUCCCAGUUGUGACAAAUACGUAGAGGCAGUUUGCAAUUUAUAUGAGCUGUCAUUGCAGGGUGGCAUUAGUUUUGGAAGCCAGCUGCUGCACCACCAAGCACAUGAGAUGACUACAGCAGUGUGGCUCCUGCAGCAGUGGACAAAAGAGGAAGAUGACAACACCGUGGAAAUGCUACUACACAAGCUCUUCCUAGAGCAUCUUCACACUGUGUAGUGCUGUUUCUGGGCUUGGGAAACCAGCAUUAAUUGGUGGGAGAGGACCAUUUUGCAGACCUGGGAUGACUAGCAGUGGUAACAAAAUUUCAGGAUUAAGACCACUUUUUUUGAGCUCUGCGCUGAACUGACCCCAGAGCUGCAGCAGUGGUUUACUAACAUGUGGUGUCACAUACCCGUUGAGAAGUGGAUUGCCAUUGCCAACUGAGUGCUGGUCAGUUUCCAACCAAAUUGACUUAGGGAGAUUAACUGUUGGGGACAUUGUCAUGCAGGUGUGUGCUGCUUUGCAGACGGUACUCUUGCACCAGGUUAUAAAGCUUGGUAAUGCUCAGGAGAUCAUUGAUGGCUUUUCAUGCAUGGGGUUCCCCAACUGUAUUGGGGCAAUUGAUAGGACUCAUGUACCUCUCAUUUGCUUCCCAUGUUAGCCUUUAUAACUUCUCCAUGGUGUUCCAUGGCCUUGUUGACCACGAGGGCAGGUUCACAAAAGUAAACGUAGGAUGAUCUGAAGAGGUCCACAAUGAUAGGAACCCAAUACAAGAAUUGGGUAGGGGGAAGGAGCUCCUAUUCAUAGGUGAGUGAACAUCUUGCCUUUGUUUCUUCUAGUCCUUCAGGGUUUGAGUGUUGGGAUUCAAAGUUGCCAGGUGCACUGGAUGUCUUGAAUAGGCAGGGCUCCAACAUAGUGGUGGUCUUGCUGCCCUGUGCUGGGGCUAGGGAGUACUGGACUCUGGGAACACAGUUGCAGAGCUACAGUAGGGAACAUCUGCUGGUGCUCCUGGUAUCCUGUAUUAUCCAAGGCUGCAGAACAUGGCUGGGUCCUGCUUUGGGAGCACUGCACUGUCUGAAGGCCUAAUAACUGCAUGGGCUUCAGCAGAGCAUUCUGAGUCUGCAUUCCAUCUAGGAAUUGUUUUUGGGUAUCCCUGUCUCUCUUUACAGUGUCUCUGGUAAUAGCAACACUGCCCUGGUCCACUUCAAUGCUAGCUCUGGAUACCUGCAUUUCUUUCUCCCUCUCUGACAUGACAUAACGCUCUCCAGGUCUCUGUGGUUUUUCUUUUCUUUUUUCCAAGAUGUAUGUGGGGCUUCAAACUUCUCUUGAGACCUCCUUUUCCCUCGUCAGGUUAGAAAGCUGCUCAGCUGCUGGUAAAAGGCCUGUCCUUGAGGGGCUCAGUAUUGCACACUGUGUGGCUGGGGGAGCAGAGUUAAAAACAAGCGGUUAUUGUUAAUAAUACAACUAUUUCUACAGAAGUAAUGAUGGAAUUCUUUUUGUUAUCCUCUACUUCUGGAUUCCAUCCCUGAGAUUCAUCCCAGUUUUGGGAAGACCUCAGAGCUGAUAUUUUCUUGGGCAAUAUCAUUCCAGAUACCUCUUCAAAUUCACCAUCCAGAUCUUUGAUGAUAUCCAUAAUCAAGUGACCUUCUCUUGUGAAGUAAACAAGAACUCCCUCAAGUCAUCGUGGUGCAUCUCCAUCUCAGCAGUAGCCUGCGUCAGGUUCAGUAAUACAUAAAGCAAUGCUGUGACUUAUUGCUGAAACGCUUUGAUGCAGUCUGUGACCUGACAUACUUUUUAUUCUAUUGGAAUGCAUGUGCAUGGGAAAUUCCACACACUAGAUCCUCUUCUUUCCCUCCUGCACUCCGCAACCCUACGAAUCUAUUCAAAAGAGACUGUGAUGGCCAGUCAAGUUCUAGAUUUAGAAAUUCAAGGAAUUGUGAUCAUGGAAACAUGCCCCAAAUAAGUUGAGGACUGACCCCUAAAUAAGUUGAGUCAAGAGUAUACAAAGUUCAUAGAGAUGACUCAAGUGGUUGCUGGGACAAGCAUCAGAGUAUCCCAUUCCAUGUUUUGGAGACACUGCUCCUUUCUAUUUUAGAAAGGACCAACACGUGCUGGGAAGAUGAACCAGGUAAAACAAAUGAUAAUGGAGGAGAGCCAGAGAACUUCAAUCUCUUUCUACAAUACAGUGCUACAUAGUAGUACUUACUACAAUAUGCAUAUUCUGUAUAUGAGCUGUACUUCAUAUGCACAGCUAUAUGUGUCUACAAUGCUUAAAUACUUCAUUUUUGAUAAUCUCUUUGUCGUCUGUAUAGCUGAGUGGCAAUUCGUGAAGUUACAGAUGAGGAGAAUGAUCUCAAUGCACUGAAAAUCUGUGAAAGACUCUAGAAAUAUCAAGGUGCCAGGUAUCCUGGGUCCAGGCCAUGGAGUGCUUUGAAGAUGAGGACUCAUACCUUAAACUUGAUUCUAAAUUUUAUGGGAAAGCGUGGAGGACAGUUGUGAUUCGCUCACAAUACUUGUGUUGCUGAUGUGAUGUGCUGCUCUUGUUGGAGUUUCCUAAGUGCUGAAGCUUCAUGCCCAGAUAUAUUACAUUUCUGUACUCCAGGUGAGAUGUGACAAAGGCAUUAAUAACUGAGGCAAAGUCUUUGUCCACCAGGAUGGGACAGAGUCUCCUAACCAACCAAAGAUGGUAGAAAGCAUGACUCCUGGCUGUUGUGAUGUGAGAACUCAGUGUUAGCAAGGAAUCCAAGAAUGCUCCUAGACUACAGACUGAAUCCCACAAUUCUGGAUGUGAGCCUUCAAUCAAAGGAGACUGCACGAUGACUGCAAACUCUGCAAAAUACUUUCCCUUGCCCACCAAGCAUCACUUCUGUUUUUCUCGGAUUCAGCUUCAGUUGCUUUUCUUAAUCCAUUACCUGAUCUCAUCUAAGCACUGAGCUCUCAUGGUGGUGGUGGUGUGAUUGUAUGUGAUGAAGGAUGGGUAGGAUUGUGUGUCAUCAUCAUACUGCUGCCACUUGAGUCCAUGUCUGACCAGGUCACCUAAGGUUGAAAAUAGAUGUUGAAAAGGGCUGGAGAGAGAAUUGUGAAACCUCACAAGUGAGGCAUUUAGUGGUGGAGGUGCAGUUUCCAUCACUACUCAUUGGAUGCAUCCCUCCAGAAAGGACUCAAAAUCAUUUUAGCGCAUUAUCCUGCACUCCUGCUACCUUUCUCAGGCAAGACAGCAGAAUCUCAUGGUCAUUCUUAGAUGCUGCAAGAAGUAAAGGAAGAUGAGAAUGGAUGUCUGUCCUCUAUCCAUUGACAGGAGGAGAUCAUCCAUUAAAGCUGUUUCAGUUUCAUGUCUUGGCCUAAAUCCAGAUUGUACCAGAUCCAGAAUGUUAGCUUCAAAUAGAUGAGCUUGUAGUCAGUCUGUGGCUAGCUUCUCUAUGAGCAUGGUCAGGAAUGGGAGAUUCAACACUGGGUGAUAUGUGUCUAUGACUGAAGUAUCCAAGGUGGGUUUUCUUCAGAGUUGGUUGGACUGUUGCAUGUUUGAAGAAAGAAGAGAGAAGAAGAUUCCUUCUCCGAAUGAGAUAUUGCCUAUUUUGGUCAGGAAUGGUACUGGUUGUUCAUGACUCUAUUUCAAGUCUUGGGUCAGGACUCCUUUAGGGUGUCCAGACAGGCCAGUCCUUGCUUACAGUCAGCCCCCCAACCUGAAGCAAAUACUCACCAGCAACCACACAACACACAACACACAACAGAACCACUAACCCAGGAACCUAUCCUUGCAACAAAGCCCAUUGC